This 670-nucleotide ribosomal RNA is filed under the name Burkholderia pseudomultivorans. Its description in RNAcentral is "bacterial SSU rRNA". It matches the Rfam family "Bacterial small subunit ribosomal RNA", at positions 56 to 719 of the family's 1533-position model. The record is from RNAcentral. Lineage: Bacteria; Pseudomonadati; Pseudomonadota; Betaproteobacteria; Burkholderiales; Burkholderiaceae.
UGCAAGUCGAACGGCAGCACGGGUGCUUGCACCUGGUGGCGAGUGGCGAACGGGUGAGUAAUACAUCGGAACAUGUCCUGUAGUGGGGGAUAGCCCGGCGAAAGCCGGAUUAAUACCGCAUACGAUCUACGGAUGAAAGCGGGGGACCUUCGGGCCUCGCGCUAUAGGGUUGGCCGAUGGCUGAUUAGCUAGUUGGUGGGGUAAAGGCCUACCAAGGCGACGAUCAGUAGCUGGUCUGAGAGGACGACCAGCCACACUGGGACUGAGACACGGCCCAGACUCCUACGGGAGGCAGCAGUGGGGAAUUUUGGACAAUGGGCGAAAGCCUGAUCCAGCAAUGCCGCGUGUGUGAAGAAGGCCUUCGGGUUGUAAAGCACUUUUGUCCGGAAAGAAAUCCUUGGUCCUAAUACGAUCGGGGGAUGACGGUACCGGAAGAAUAAGCACCGGCUAACUACGUGCCAGCAGCCGCGGUAAUACGUAGGGUGCAAGCGUUAAUCGGAAUUACUGGGCGUAAAGCGUGCGCAGGCGGUCUGUUAAGACAGAUGUGAAAUCCCCGGGCUCAACCUGGGAACUGCAUUUGUGACUGGCAGGCUAGAGUAUGGCAGAGGGGGGUAGAAUUCCACGUGUAGCAGUGAAAUGCGUAGAGAUGUGGAGGAAUACCGAUGGCGAA